This 408-nucleotide ribosomal RNA is filed under the name Triticum aestivum (bread wheat). Its description in RNAcentral is "partial small subunit ribosomal RNA". The record is from RNAcentral. Lineage: Eukaryota; Viridiplantae; Streptophyta; Magnoliopsida; Poales; Poaceae.
AUGGAGUAUCAGUCGAUCGUCUCUGCGCUGGACGUCCGCAUCGAGCCAAUCACCAUCGACAUCCUCUUCUCCAUGGUGGCGAACUUCGACCAACGGGUCAAGAUGUUCCAUGGCAACGGCGGCGGCACCUUCAAGUUGUCGGCAAACAUUGCUUCUCGCGGCCGAGGCAACAAGGGCAACUACCGCAACAAGAAGGGCAACGGUGGUGGCUCCCGUGGCGGCGGUGGCUAUGGUGGCGAUGGCCACUACAGUGGCACCAGCCACGGCAAUGGAGGCGGCGGCUAUAACGGUGGUGGAAACUACCACCAGAAUAACAACCAAGGCGGCGGUAGGGGCUAUCAUGGUGGUGGCGGCGGCUACUGCUACAUCUUGAGCUUGCAUUGGUUUUCCUCGAAGAGGAGAGGGUGA